GGGGGAUUAGCUCAGUUGGCUAGAGCGCCUGAUUUGCAUUCAGGAGGUCAAGGGUUCGACUCCCUUAUUCUCCAC
RNAcentral lists this transfer RNA (75 nucleotides) under Butyricimonas faecihominis. Its description in RNAcentral is "tRNA-Ala". It matches the Rfam family "tRNA". Rfam says of the family: Transfer RNA (tRNA) molecules are approximately 80 nucleotides in length. RNAcentral also lists the same sequence under 2 other names. The record is from RNAcentral. Lineage: Bacteria; Pseudomonadati; Bacteroidota; Bacteroidia; Bacteroidales; Odoribacteraceae.